UGGGGAANAUUGGGCAAUGGGCGCAAGCCUGACCCAGCAACGCCGCGUGAAGGAAGAAGGCUUUCGGGUUGUAAACUUCUUUUCUCAGGGACGAACAGAUGACGGUACCUGAGGAAUAAGCCACGGCUAACUACGUGCC
This 139-nucleotide ribosomal RNA is filed under the name uncultured bacterium. Its description in RNAcentral is "partial 16S ribosomal RNA". It matches the Rfam family "Bacterial small subunit ribosomal RNA", at positions 355 to 509 of the family's 1533-position model. The record is from RNAcentral.